This 709-nucleotide ribosomal RNA is filed under the name Melanoides tuberculata. Its description in RNAcentral is "partial 16S ribosomal RNA". It matches the Rfam family "Archaeal large subunit ribosomal RNA", at positions 1598 to 2641 of the family's 2987-position model. Lineage: Eukaryota; Metazoa; Mollusca; Gastropoda; Thiaridae. The record is from RNAcentral.
CAAAGUUUGUUAUAAAAUAACAAAGUAUAUUAAAAAUAUUAUUAUAUGUAGCACCACAAAAAUUUAUAAGAACAAUAAUCUAAACUAAAAGAUUUAAUAUGCCUAUGCUAGGAUGAGUAUUACAAAAUUAUGUAUUAAGUAGAACUAGUACUUCUAAAAAAAUAUUUUUUAUAUAAAUUAAAGAGAAGGAAUUUGGCAAAUAUUGUUUCGCCUGUUUAUCAAAAACAUGGCUCUUUGAAAAGAACACAUAAAGAGUCGAACCUGCCCGGUGAAUUAUUUUAACGGCCGCGGUACCCUGACCGUGCAAAGGUAGCAUAAUCAUUUGCCUUAUAAUUGAAGGCUAGCAUGAACGGUCUGACGAAAGCAAUACUGUCUCCUCUUUAUUUUUUAGAAAUUAACUUGUAGGUGAAGAGGCCUAUAUUAUAUUGAAGGACAAGAAGACCCUGUCGAGCUUUAAAAUUAAAUGUAGGUGUAAACUAUUAACAAAAUCAAUGGACUGCAUUAUAUUUUUAGUUGGGGCGACGAAGGAACAAACAAAGCUUCUUUUAUUUUUAUAAAUUUAUAGAUUUAGAUCCAGCAAAGCUGAUUAGAGGAAUUAGUUACCGCAGGGAUAACAGCAUAAUCUCCUUUGAGAGACCUAAUCGAAAAGGGGGGUUGUGACCUCGAUGUUGGACUAGAAUAUCCUGAAGAUGCAGACGUCUUCGAAGGU